This 497-nucleotide ribosomal RNA is filed under the name uncultured bacterium. RNAcentral describes it as "partial 16S ribosomal RNA". It matches the Rfam family "Bacterial small subunit ribosomal RNA", at positions 28 to 507 of the family's 1533-position model. The record is from RNAcentral.
GACGAACGCUGGCGGCGUGCCUAAUACAUGCAAGUUGAGCGCACAGAGGUGGUACUUGUUCCUCCUGGCUGAGCAGCGGACGGGUGAGUAACGCGUGGGGAACCUGCCUUUGAGCGGGGGACAACAUCUGGAAACGAAUGCUAAUACCGCAUAAAAACUUUAACCACAUGUUUUAAGUUUGAAAGAUGCAAUUGCAUCACUCUAAGAUGAUCUCCCGUUGUCUUAGCUAGUUGGUGAGGUAAACGCCCACCAAAGGGAAGAUACCUAGCCGACCUGAGAGGGUGAGAGGGCACAUUGGGAAUGUGAGACGCGCCCAACUCCCACAGGAGGCGGCAGAAGGGAAUCUUUGGCGAAAGACGAGAGACCGACCGGGCGACGCCGCGUGAGUGAAGAAGGGUUUCGGGUCUCAAAACUCUGUGUGUAGAGAAGAGAGUAUAUGAGUAUGGAACGGUCAACAAGUGACGGGAACUACCCAGAAAGGGACGGCUAACUUCGGG